AACGAGGCCGACCUGCGGCUGAGUUACCUGCGGAAGGAUCAUUAAAAAAGGGUCUUUCGACCCAUUUUUUUUAAAAAUUCACUACCAGUUUUACUGGAAGUGGGUUUUUUUCAAACACCAAAUUUUAAACUAUUCGUCUUUUGACGAAACCCAAAAUUAAUAAAUAAAACUUUUAACAACGGAUCU
RNAcentral lists this unclassified non-coding RNA (186 nucleotides) under soil metagenome. RNAcentral describes it as "partial contains 5.8S ribosomal RNA, internal transcribed spacer 2, and large subunit ribosomal RNA". The record is from RNAcentral.